RNAcentral lists this ribosomal RNA (862 nucleotides) under Geobacillus thermodenitrificans. RNAcentral's name for it is "bacterial SSU rRNA". It matches the Rfam family "Bacterial small subunit ribosomal RNA", at positions 32 to 873 of the family's 1533-position model. The record is from RNAcentral. Lineage: Bacteria; Bacillati; Bacillota; Bacilli; Caryophanales; Anoxybacillaceae.
AACGCUGGCGGCGUGCCUAAUACAUGCAAGUCGAGCGGACCGAACGAGAGCUUGCUCUUGUUCGGUCAGCGGCGGACGGGUGAGUAACACGUGGGCAACCUGCCCGCAAGACCGGGAUAACUCCGGGAAACCGGAGCUAAUACCGGAUAACACCAAAGACCGCAUGGUCUUUGGUUGAAAGGCGGCUUCGGCUGYCACUUGCGGAUGGGCCCGCGGCGCAUUAGCUAGUUGGUGAGGUAACGGCUCACCAAGGCGACGAUGCGUAGCCGGCCUGAGAGGGUGACCGGCCACACUGGGACUGAGACACGGCCCAGACUCCUACGGGAGGCAGCAGUAGGGAAUCUUCCGCAAUGGACGAAAGUCUGACGGAGCGACGCCGCGUGAGCGAAGAAGGCCUUCGGGUCGUAAAGCUCUGUUGUGAGGGACGAAGGAGCGCCGUUUGAAUAAGGCGGCGCGGUGACGGUACCUCACGAGAAAGCCCCGGCUAACUACGUGCCAGCAGCCGCGGUAAUACGUAGGGGGCGAGCGUUGUCCGGAAUUAUUGGGCGUAAAGCGCGCGCAGGCGGUCCUUUAAGUCUGAUGUGAAAGCCCACGGCUCAACCGUGGAGGGUCAUUGGAAACUGGGGGACUUGAGUGCAGGAGAGGAGAGCGGAAUUCCACGUGUAGCGGUGAAAUGCGUAGAGAUGUGGAGGAACACCAGUGGCGAAGGCGGCUCUCUGGCCUGUAACUGACGCUGAGGCGCGAAAGCGUGGGGAGCAAACAGGAUUAGAUACCCUGGUAGUCCACGCCGUAAACGAUGAGUGCUAAGUGUUAGAGGGGUCACACCCUUUAGUGCUGYAGCUAACGCGAUAAGCACUCCGCC